UCCACUACCAUCACUACAUAGAGCCUCACGACAAGGCCAACCAUUGUCCUUCACUAUACCAACACUCACUGGUCAUCAAACCAUAGCAACUCCAUUGCCAAACCCUUUCCUGGCAUCAAAUUAUCCUCUUGAAAUAAGUCUAGAAACCAGACAUUUCUUGAAAACUGAGAUUUGAUUGGGUCAAAUUUCAACCAAAUGACAACCCGACCAAAACUUAAUAGAUUUCAUCGUCUAUACCUUACUUGUGUUUUUCCAUUCACCAAUGAUGUCAUUCCUACUGUUCAUAGUUAGGUGCAAGGCGCACGAGGCUCAAGGGUUUGUGCCUAGAAACCCUCUAGACGGGCGAUAUGCAAAAGGUGCGCCCAGGCACAAGGUGUGCCUUGGCGCGCCCCAGUGAGGUCAGCCUAAGUGAAUGAGAAAAAAGAAGAAGAAGAAGAGUAGUAGGAGAAGAGACGUAAGUGGCUGCCUGCUUCUCAAUGUAGGCUGCUAAGUGGUGGAUGUCUUUUAUUGGUAUUUAAAUGGGGCGUCCUGGCUGCCAACUGCCUCAUGCUCGGUGCUC
This 559-nucleotide unclassified non-coding RNA is filed under the name Hevea brasiliensis (rubber tree). The record is from RNAcentral. Lineage: Eukaryota; Viridiplantae; Streptophyta; Magnoliopsida; Malpighiales; Euphorbiaceae.